AGCGAACGCUGGCGGCAGGCUUAACACAUGCAAGUCGAGCGGGCAUCCUUGUGGUGUCAGCGGCAGACGGGUGAGUAACGCGUGGGAACGUGCCCUUCGGUUCGGAAUAACUCAGGGAAACUUGAGCUAAUACCGGAUACGUGCGAGAGCAGAAAGGUUUAUCUGCCGAAGGAUCGGCCCGCGUCUGAUUAGCUAGUUGGUGAGGUUACGGCUCACCAAGGCGACGAUCAGUAGCUGGUCUUAGAGGAUGAUCAGCCACACUGGGACUGAGACACGGCCCAGACUCCUACGGGAGGCAGCAGUGGGGAAUAUUGGACAAUGGGGGCAACCCUGAUCCAGCCAUGCCGCGUGAGUGAUGACGGCCUUAGGGUUGUAAAGCUCUUUUCUCCGGGACGAUAAUGACGGUACCGGAGGAAUAAGCCCCGGCUAACUUCGUG
RNAcentral lists this ribosomal RNA (437 nucleotides) under uncultured bacterium. RNAcentral describes it as "partial 16S ribosomal RNA". It matches the Rfam family "Bacterial small subunit ribosomal RNA", at positions 29 to 507 of the family's 1533-position model. The record is from RNAcentral.